RNAcentral lists this ribosomal RNA (426 nucleotides) under uncultured bacterium. RNAcentral describes it as "bacterial SSU rRNA". It matches the Rfam family "Bacterial small subunit ribosomal RNA", at positions 355 to 774 of the family's 1533-position model. The record is from RNAcentral.
UGGGGAAUCUUGCACAAUGGGCGACAGCCUGAUGCAGCAAUGCCGCGUGAGGGAAGACGGCCUUCGGGUUGUAAACCUCUUUCAGUUGGGAUGAAGGUCGUACGGUGAACAGCCGUCCGACUGACCGUACCUUCAGAAGAAGCUCCGGCUAACUACGUGCCAGCAGCCGCGGUAAUACGUAGGGGGCGAGCGUUGUCCGGAAUCAUUGGGCGUAAAGCGCGUGUAGGCGGUUUCGUAAGUCUGCUGUGAAAGUCGGAGGCUCAACCUUCGAAAGCCGGUGGAUACUGCGAGACUUGAGUCCGGAAGAGGAGAGUGGAAUUCCUGGUGUAGCGGUGAAAUGCGCAGAUAUCAGGAGGAACACCAACGGCGAAGGCAGCUCUCUGGGACGGUACUGACGCUGAGACGCGAAAGCGUGGGGAGCAAACA